RNAcentral lists this long non-coding RNA (613 nucleotides) under Amborella trichopoda. RNAcentral's name for it is "long non-coding RNA (ATRI_LNC002281)". Lineage: Eukaryota; Viridiplantae; Streptophyta; Magnoliopsida; Amborellales; Amborellaceae. The record is from RNAcentral.
UUUAUGUGUAUAACUUUUUACAAUGAAGAAGCUCCUCUAGUCCUCUUCCCAAGCUCCGAUCCCCCAAAAAACCAUAAGUAUCAAAAAGGAAGAGAAAAAGAGAUGCAGAAAGUAGUUCCUGAUUUCUCUUUUGAGGCAAAUCAGUUAUCAAAGAGAAAUUUUCUAAAUUGAGAAGGAGCAGCUCGUCUUGGUUGCUGCGGGGAUCUGGCUGCUGGAGUUCUCGGUUUCGCUGGAACUCAGCAUCUGAAAAACCAGUCCGGCCAUGUCAAUGCUGGCCAUGACUGUGGUCUUUGAGUUGGAGAAGGACGGGCCGAACGUCUCAUGAUUUCCAUAGGUGUAAGUGUCACAGGAAGAAGAAGAGCCACUUCUGGUUAUCCCGGCCUCGAGCCCCUACAUCACCUCCAUCACAGCCUCCUCUCCAAAACCCCCCUCCUCCCCACUUAGUACCUUCUCGUCCUCAUCUCCUUGAAGUAGCCAUUGCUGCAUUUUAACACAGAAGAACAAAAACCUACACCGAAAAAGCUCUCUCUCUCUCUAAAAGAGGAAACCCACAGGGCCCGACGAAGCCUCAGGGCCUGACGAAAGCCCACCGGGCCUGAUGUCGUAAUGCGUC